RNAcentral lists this ribosomal RNA (415 nucleotides) under uncultured bacterium. RNAcentral's name for it is "bacterial SSU rRNA". It matches the Rfam family "Bacterial small subunit ribosomal RNA", at positions 355 to 787 of the family's 1533-position model. The record is from RNAcentral.
UGGGGAAUAUUGCACAAUGGGGGAAACCCUGAUGCAGCAACGCCGCGUGAGUGAAGAAGUAUUUCGGUAUGUAAAGCUCUAUCAGCAGGGAAGAAAAUGACGGUACCUGACUAAGAAGCCCCGGCUAACUACGUGCCAGCAGCCGCGGUAAUACGUAGGGGGCAAGCGUUAUCCGGAUUUACUGGGUGUAAAGGGAGCGUAGACGGCGCUGCAAGUCUGAAGUGAAAGCCCGGGGCUCAACCCCGGGACUGCUUUGGAAACUGUAAUGCUAGAGUGCUGGAGAGGUAAGUGGAAUUCCUAGUGUAGCGGUGAAAUGCGUAGAUAUUAGGAGGAACACCAGUGGCGAAGGCGGCUUACUGGACAGUAACUGACGUUGAGGCUCGAAAGCGUGGGGAGCAAACAGGAUUAGAUACCC